AGAGAGUCUAACACUGGAGCUGGCUAGAAAACCUCAUUCUACUUUUGGUCUAAAGAUUUUACUUAUAUUUAACGGGCCCGUGGAGCUGAACAGCCGUCAUCCUAGAACACACUGCGCUCAGCUGCUGUCUGCAGCUCUUCACGAAAGCUUCUUCCCUCCGCCUCCUGGCUGGCUACAAACACAAAGUGCUGGGCCAUAGAUUCAGCUGGGAGAUGAGAAGAUUGAUCUGUUUCUCCAGACAAAUGUGACAAUAUCUUCUUCAUCACUGGGUG
Long non-coding RNA from Dermochelys coriacea (leatherback sea turtle), 272 nucleotides. RefSeq lists it as uncharacterized. The transcript has 3 exons. The record is from RefSeq and is a predicted model, not a curated record. NCBI's taxonomy places the organism in Eukaryota, Metazoa, Chordata, Testudines, Dermochelyidae.